RNAcentral lists this non-coding RNA (75 nucleotides) under human gut metagenome. RNAcentral describes it as "ZMP/ZTP riboswitch". It matches the Rfam family "ZMP/ZTP riboswitch aptamer (pfl RNA motif)", at positions 6 to 81 of the family's 86-position model. From Rfam's summary of the family: Previously known as pfl RNA. ZMP is also known as AICAR. The record is from RNAcentral.
UAUGUACGACUGGCGGAUAAGUGGGAUAACCCACAGGGAGUACAUAUGAUUUCAGAAGCCGACCGCCUGGGCAAG